RNAcentral lists this ribosomal RNA (492 nucleotides) under uncultured bacterium. RNAcentral describes it as "partial 16S ribosomal RNA". It matches the Rfam family "Bacterial small subunit ribosomal RNA", at positions 29 to 507 of the family's 1533-position model. The record is from RNAcentral.
AGUGAACGCUGGCGGUAGGCCUAACACAUGCAAGUCGAACGGCAGCACAGUAAGAGCUUGCUCUUACGGGUGGCGAGUGGCGGACGGGUGAGGAAUACAUCGGAAUCUACUUUUUCGUGGGGGAUAACGUAGGGAAACUUACGCUAAUACCGCAUACGACCUACGGGUGAAAGCAGGGGAUCUUCGGACCUUGCGCGAUUGAAUGAGCCGAUGUCGGAUUAGCUAGUUGGCGGGGUAAAGGCCCACCAAGGCGACGAUCCGUAGCUGGUCUGAGAGGAUGAUCAGCCACACUGGAACUGAGACACGGUCCAGGCUCCUACGGGAGGCAGCAGUGGGGAAUAUUGGACAAUGGGCGCAAGCCUGAUCCAGCCAUACCGCGUGGGUGAAGAAGGCCUUCGGGUCGUAAAGCCCUUUUGUUGGGAAAGAAAAGCAGCAGGUUAAUACCCCGCUGUUCUGACGGUACCCAAAGAAUAAGCACCGGCUAACUUCGUG